This 968-nucleotide unclassified non-coding RNA is filed under the name Hevea brasiliensis (rubber tree). Lineage: Eukaryota; Viridiplantae; Streptophyta; Magnoliopsida; Malpighiales; Euphorbiaceae. The record is from RNAcentral.
UAUUAUUAUUAUUAUUAUUAUUGUCAUUUGAUUUUUUCGCUGGAUAAGAAAAGAAAACUAAAUCAAUAUGUGUAGGUGUGAAGUAGAGCCUGUAGUCUUACGAGUUUGGGUCUUGUGUCCAGAUCUGAAAAUUUUCAUGGUUGUCAUAUUUACCGGAAUGAAAAAUGUGCUUGCAAGAGUUAGUCUACCUGCAAGCAUAAGGCUUCAUCAUUUUUUUGUAUGCACCAUCUGUUAUCACUGUUACCAUGCCAGAAUCUAUCAAAGCUGACUUUGUUCAUCAUUCCACCCUGAACUGAAUGCAUCAAUACAAUGAGAAACUAUUCUUGCUUGAUUUCACUUAAAUAAGAAGAUAAUUAAAAUCUGAAGUAGAUAAAAAGUUGAUAACUAAGUCAUAUCCGUGCAACAACUAGAUAUCAACAACUUAUACAAGCAAGCUGAUCACUUCACAAUGAUUUUGUGUCGUGAAGUGACCAUCAGGCUAAUGAGUGGCAUGUUAAUGGCACUAACAUUUAACAUUUUUUGUUGAGAUGACAUAAACUGUAGGUGAAAUAGUAGACUAUAGACUGGCCACUGAAAAGGGGUAAGCAUAAUGAUUUUAGCACUAUUUCAUUCCUAAAGAAAUGAACAAUGCAUAAUAAUUUUAGAACCAUUUUCUUCUGUUUAUGCUUUCAUGCAUUGUCUUCUGUGCAGUCAUGUGAUGUAAUCUACCCUCCAAUUCCAUGGUUUAGGGGAGGGGUAGAAAAGUAUUACUAAUUACACAAUGAUCAUUUGUAAGAAGAUUAUUUCACUAGGGCAUCUGAAAAGAUAUUUCUUUUCAAUCCAUUGAUCGAUACUGUUAUGUCUCGCCCUUUCUCUCUCUAUCUCUCUUCUUCUUCUUUUUUUUUGUUCCUUUUUUUGUCCUUAAAUUUCUUUUUUCCAAUUCACUUUGUUUUUUUACCCUGUAGCAUCCAGGAACAACUAUUGUUACA